UUCAAGAUUCAUUAUCAUAUGGAUCGUUUCCGCCCAUUCCAAAUCAAGUGCUACAAACAAUAAGCAAAACACAAUAAGGAAAUCAAUCAUAGCCAUCCAUGACAUCCGGUGUUUGUGAUCAUUUGUCAUACAAUUAAGUAAUUUAUACGAUUCAACCAAGAGAAUCGUUGUAAAACUCAUUGAUUUGAUUAUUGGAUCGGUGUACCACAAAGCGUGACAAACAAACAAAAAAUAAUAAUAAAUGAGUAUCGUUACAUUCAAUGUCCAUAACGUUGUUAUUCUGAUUUCAAACGAAAUAAUAUAUCGAUGUUCAACGCAUUCAAUUCGGGUGGGUGGGUCUGGUGGAAAAUCCUUUUUUUCAAACUUUGAACAAGAAAAUUGGCUACAAUCAUUAGCAAAGAAAAAAGUAAUGACAAAAACAGAAAUUUUGUUGUUUUAUAAAUCUUUAUUUGAAGCAACCAAACCAUUCUGUAUUAUUAUCAUUAUUGUGUGAUAUUCCAAAUGGUAUAAUAUUCUUGAUUUGAAAAAAUGUGCUAUUUUUUUCAUGUCUUCAAAUGAUUGACUAUCAUCGAUAACAACAACAAACAUUAAAUCGAAUCGGCUGGUAUUGUUUUGUAGCACCUGAGCUCCAUACACCACCACCACCAACAACAACAACAACAACAGCAAAAACAUUUUUUUUUCCUUGGAACCAAGAUUAUUUGUCCUGGUGAUGAUACCAUCAUUUGAACAUAAACGCAAACGCACACACACACACACGUUUUUAAUGAUAAUGGUAAACAAAAAUUCAUCUAUGGUGUCCCUUUUCUAAAUCAUCAGCCAACAAUCCAAUCCAUUCAAUGGACUUUAUUGGCUAUUAUAUAAAAUAAAUAAAAUGAACCAGAAAAAUCCAGUCUCAGUGAUCUCAUCAGUUUUUUUUCCGGCACCAGAAAAAAAAUAACCCGGUAAAGUUUUAUAUAAAGAAUCUUGAUAAAGAUUGUUAUUUGUAUAAAUAUAUCAAACACAAAUUUUCUAUUAUUCUAAGCAAAUAUUAUAUACUUGGUUUGUAAAAUUUUUUUUCCCAUUACUAAUGUUCCAACUAACAACACACACACACACACAUUUGUCCCUAGGGCCAUAAUCCUAGUGUAUUUCCCACAUUUGUACUUCUUAUAUUCGUUUGGUUUUUUUUUUGUUUGUAAUA
Non-coding RNA from Dermatophagoides farinae (American house dust mite), 1183 nucleotides. NCBI's taxonomy places the organism in Eukaryota, Metazoa, Arthropoda, Arachnida, Sarcoptiformes, Pyroglyphidae. The record is from RefSeq and is a predicted model, not a curated record.